CCAAUGGGGAGUGGGUUUGUUGUGGUCCUGGAGCCGGAGCUCGGAGCCUGGGGAUGGGGCUAAUGGCGGCGGCUGCCUGCCUGACCUGAGAUGUCCCGAGGGGAGCCAAGCCUAGAGCCCAGGCCCCGGCUGGUUUGUAGUGUCCAUCCUGCUAAGGCCGCCGCGUCCCCCGAGCCCCAGGAGGAAACCAUGGAUACUUGACAUCACAUUGUGGUGUGACACUGUUUCGUUUUGAUCAUGAACACUGAUCUCUGGAAAACCAUCCUGGUCGCUAAGCAGGAGAAGCAUAAAAAACUAUUUCUCAACUAUAAGAACUUGUGCAAAUUUCCUCAUGAAUUACUGAAAGAUGGUGGCUCAGAAUACUUGGAGCACCUUUAUAUGAAGAUGAAUUCAUUAACAACAUUGCCAGAAAACCUUGGAGAGAAGCUUCCUAAUCUCACUGAGUUGGACUUAAUGAAGAUCCAGAUCAAAUGCAACAUCUAUGCUGACCUUGCGCUGAGUUG
Rhincodon typus (whale shark) is the source of this 503-nucleotide long non-coding RNA. RefSeq lists it as uncharacterized. The record is from RefSeq and is a predicted model, not a curated record. The transcript has 4 exons. NCBI's taxonomy places the organism in Eukaryota, Metazoa, Chordata, Chondrichthyes, Orectolobiformes, Rhincodontidae.